Molecule: RNA transcript, 3306 nt
Organism: Echinops telfairi (small Madagascar hedgehog)
Lineage: Eukaryota; Metazoa; Chordata; Mammalia; Afrosoricida; Tenrecidae
Gene: ZBTB17
Gene name: zinc finger and BTB domain containing 17
Exons: 15
Source: RefSeq, a predicted model, not a curated record
ACGAGCUGGAGGAGGGGAGCCAAGCUGGAGUUGACGCCAGGGACAGACUGUCAGAGAAGAGUAGCCCAGGCUGUUGGGCAAUCUGAGCCAUGGAUUUCCCCCAGCACGGCCAGCACGUCCUGGAGCAGCUGAACCAGCAGCGGCAGCUGGGGCUCCUGUGUGACUGCACCUUCGUGGUGGACGGGGUGGACUUUAAGGCCCACAAAGCCGUGCUGGCCGCCUGCAGCGAGUACUUCAAGAUGCUCUUCGUGGACCAGAAGGAUGUGGUGCACCUGGACAUUAGUAACGCGGCAGGCCUGGGCCAGGUGUUGGAAUUCAUGUACACGGCCAAGCUGAGCCUGAGCCCUGAGAAUGUGGACGAUGUGCUGGCUGUAGCCAGCUUCCUCCAGAUGCAGGACAUCAUCACGGCCUGCCACACCCUCAAGUCACUCGCUGAGCCAGCUAUCAGCCCUGGGGACAACAUAGAGGCCUUGGCUGCGGGAGGAGGGGACAAGAAAGCCAAGGAGAAAGCUGCCGUCCCCAUGCCGAGCGAGCCGGACCUGAUGGGGGGCAGUCUGUCGGUUGGUCCAGGCAGGGAGCCCAAGGAGGAGCGAGGUGGCCAGGCUGAGAGGGAGGCCAGCGGGGCAGAGCAGACUGAGAAGGCCGAUGCCCCCCGGGAGCCACCACCCGUGGAGCUCAAGCCGGACCCCACCAGUGGCAUGGCUGCUGCUGAGGCCGAGGCCGCCUUGUCCGAGUGCUCAGAGCAAGAGGUGGAGGUGGAGCCAGCAAAGAAAGGAGAAGGUGAGCCCCUGGCCCGCAGCCCGCCGGCCUCUGUCAAGGAGGAGGGGCCCCGGCUGGAAAACGGAGAGGACCACGAGUCGACCGCCACAGACUCUGGCCAGGAGCUGGGCGUGGAGGCCCGGAGCCUGCGCUCAGGCACAUACGGCGACCGCACCGAGUCCAAGACGUACGGCUCAGUCAUCCACAAGUGCGAGGACUGCGGGAAGGAGUUCACACACACGGGCAACUUCAAGCGGCACAUCCGCAUCCACACAGGCGAGAAGCCCUUCUCCUGCCAGGAGUGCAGCAAGGCCUUCUCUGACCCGGCCGCCUGCAAGGCCCACGAGAAGACGCACAGCCCUUUGAAGCCCUACGGCUGUGAGGAGUGCGGCAAGAGCUACCGGCUGAUCAGCCUGCUGAACCUGCACAAGAAGCGGCACUCGGGGGAAGCGCGCUACCGCUGCGAGGACUGCGGCAAGCUCUUCACCACCUCCGGCAACCUCAAGCGCCACCAGCUGGUGCACAGCGGCGAGAAGCCCUACCAGUGCGACUACUGCGGCCGCUCCUUCUCCGACCCCACCUCCAAGAUGCGCCACCUGGAGACACACGACACGGACAAGGAGCACAAGUGCCCACACUGCGACAAGAAGUUCAACCAGGUGGGGAAUCUGAAGGCCCACCUGAAGAUCCACAUCGCGGACGGGCCCCUCAAGUGCCGGGAGUGUGGGAAGCAAUUCACCACCUCAGGGAACCUCAAGCGGCAUCUCCGGAUCCACAGCGGGGAGAAGCCUUACGUGUGCGUCCACUGCCAGCGGCAGUUCGCAGACCCGGGCGCUCUGCAGCGCCACGUCCGCAUCCACACGGGCGAGAAGCCGUGCCAGUGCGUGAUAUGCGGCAAGGCUUUCACCCAGGCCAGCUCCCUCAUCGCCCACGUGCGCCAGCACACUGGCGAGAAGCCCUACGUCUGCGAGCGCUGCGGCAAGAGAUUCGUCCAGUCCAGCCAACUGGCCAACCACAUCCGCCACCACGACAACAUCCGCCCCCACAAGUGCAGCGUGUGCAGCAAGGCCUUCGUCAACGUGGGGGACCUAUCCAAGCACAUCAUCAUCCACACCGGAGAGAAGCCUUACCUUUGUGACAAGUGUGGCCGUGGCUUCAACCGGGUGGACAACCUGCGCUCCCACGUGAAGACGGUGCACCAGGGCAAGGCAGGCAUCAAGAUCCUGGAGCCAGAGGACGGUGGCGAGGUCAGCGUGGUCACGGUUGACGACAUGGUCACGCUGGCCACCGAGGCCCUAGCUGCAACGGCUGUCACUCAGCUCACAGUGGUUCCGGUGGGGGCUGCAGUGACAGCUGAUGAGACAGAAGCCCUUAAAGCCGAGAUCACCAAAGCGGUGAAGCAAGUUCAGGAAGCAGACCCCAACACCCAGAUCCUCUACGCCUGCGACUCCUGUGGGGAAAAGUUCCUUGACGCCAACAGCCUGGCCCAGCACGUUCGGAUCCACACAGCCCAGGCCCUGGUCAUGUUCCAGGCUGACACGGACUUCUACCAGCAGUAUGGGCCAGGAGGCACGUGGCCAGCCGGGCAGGUGCUACAGGCUGGGGAGUUGCUCUUCCGCCCCCGAGAUGGGGCCGAGGGCCUGCCUGCUCUAACAGAGACCCCACCCACAGCCCCCGAAUGCCCACCGCCAGCUGAGUGAGCAGGCGCCCCACCUUCGGACUGUUUAUUUAAAGAUGGACGGCACCCCAGAACUGUCACCCCCAGCAGCUGGUAGCCCCUCUUCCUACAUCAGAAGCGUGUCGAUUAUCAGGAGCCCCACUUGAUACCAUGAGGGCCUUCUCGGUACUUACUGCCUGCCUCCCUAGCCUCGUGGGGCUCUAGCUGAGGAAGGCCUUUCCUUACCCCCCUCCUGAGUCCCGUCCAGACACAGAGCAGGACACCUGCAAGCCACUGGCAGGCCAGGCUCUGCCCCCUGCUCUGGACAGAGAGGGGAAUCCAGAGCUUGCGUGUCGCGUUGUGUGGAGAUUUCUGUAUCAAAUCUGAAGUGCCUUCUUCAAUGUCAGCUAAGAGCCAAUCGCGAUCUUGGAAGUUUGACAGAUCCUGUACACAACAUGGGAAACCCGUAGUCGCAGCAGCCGUCAUCAGGAAGCAGGGAGGUGAGGACCCUUGGUCCUCCUACCCAAGUGACAAUCACAUUCACACUUGAUGUGUUUUGUAUUUUUUAAUAAAGUUUGUAAUCCAAUGGACACACAAAACAAAACUGCGCUGAGAAAAACAGUUUCAUAAAUUAAUAAGUGUUAGGGAGUUGGGGGAGCUCCAGGUAGGGUGAGACCAGCCAGUCUUUAUACAGGUGCUGUGUGACACUUCACGUCGCAGGGCAGGCCGUGCUGUAACGAAGCGCACUUAUACAAAUGAGUGACGAUACAAAGUCUGAGUAUGAAAAUAAGAUUCUCUCUGAAAACACAUUUUUGGCACAGAUUAAAAAAAAUGUAUGUGAGGGGAAAUUUUGAUUUUUUUAAGUCAGUAUUAUAUAUAUAUUUAUAUAU